Molecule: ribosomal RNA, 463 nt
Filed under: uncultured bacterium
Lineage: Bacteria
Description: partial 16S ribosomal RNA
Rfam family: Bacterial small subunit ribosomal RNA
Source: RNAcentral
GACGAACGCUGGCGGCGUGCUUAACACAUGCAAGUCGAGCGGAAAGGCCACUUCGGUGGUACUCGAGCGGCGAACGGGUGAGUAACACGUGAGUAAUCUGCCCCUCACUUUGGGAUAGCCACCGGAAACGGUGAUUAAUACCGGAUAUGACCAUAUGUCGCAUGGCGUGUGGUGGAAAGUUUUUCGGUGAGGGAUGUGCUCGCGGCCUAUCAGCUUGAUGGUGAGGUAAUGGCUCACCAUGGCUUCGACGGGUAGCCGGCCUGAGAGGGUGACCGGUCACACUGGGACUGAGACACGGCCCAGACUCCUACGGGAGGCAGCAGUGGGGAAUAUUGGACAAUGGGCGGAAGCCUGAUCCAGCAACGCCGCGUGAGGGAUGACGGCCUUCGGGUUGUAAACCUCUUUCAGUACCGACGAAGCGCAAGUGACGGUAGGUACAGAAGAAGCACCGGCCAACUACGUA